Molecule: non-coding RNA, 273 nt
Organism: Cinara cedri
Lineage: Eukaryota; Metazoa; Arthropoda; Insecta; Hemiptera; Aphididae
Source: the annotation of a GenBank genome assembly
AGCGUACCACUUCGUUUAAUUAACCAAGGAACGCUUUUAUUUCGAGGACGUUUGUCUAUAUUCGUAGGGCGCAACUUUUCAUUAUUAUAUGGUAUUCCGAAAUUAAAAUUCGGUUAUUGACCUCUGAUCAUCUAUCUAUCAACUAUCUAAUUUACUUUUCGCUUUGGAGAUGUGAAGGACAAAGUGCUCCAUGAGUUACUGUACCGUCAAUCCGGUAAAAUAUGGGGUAGUUUUUGAACUGAGACUAUGAAGUUUGUCUUCGUUAUUUAUUAU